UUGGGCGUAAAGCGCGCGCAGGCGGAUCAGUCAGUCUGUCUUAAAAGUUCGGGGCUUAACCCCGUGAUGGGAUGGAAACUGCUGAUCUAGAGUAUCGGAGAGGAAAGUGGAAUUCCUAGUGUAGCGGUGAAAUGCGUAGAUAUUAGGAAGAACACCAGUGGCGAAGGCGACUUUCUGGACGAAAACUGACGCUGAGGCGCGAAAGCCAGGGGAGCGAACGGGAUUAGAUACCCCGGUAGUCCUGGCCGUAAACGAUGGGUACUAGGUGUAGGAGGUAUCGACCCCUUCUGUGCCGGAGUUAACGCAAUAAGUACCCCGCCUGGGGAGUACGACCGCAAGGUUGAAACUCAAAGGAAUUGACGGGGGCCCGCACAAGCGGUGGAGUAUGUGGUUUAAUUCGACGCAACGCGAAGAACCUUACCAGGUCUUGACAUUGAUGGACAGAACUAGAGAUAGUUCCUCUUCUUCGGAAGCCAGAAAACAGGUGGUGCACGGUUGUCGUCAGCUCGUGUCGUGA
This 517-nucleotide ribosomal RNA is filed under the name uncultured bacterium. Its description in RNAcentral is "bacterial SSU rRNA". It matches the Rfam family "Bacterial small subunit ribosomal RNA", at positions 554 to 1070 of the family's 1533-position model. The record is from RNAcentral.